CUAUGAUUUGCUGAAUCAUCCUGAGCUUCAGUUUUCUUUUAUAUAAAAUGCAGACAAUAAUUUCUCUCCUGCAGGCUUCUAUUUUAAGUUGAGUGAAAUGAGGUUGAUGAAGUACCUGGCAAAAUGCCUGCCACAUAAUGGGAGUUCAAUAAACUAUUAAUUUUAUAUUUUUACUAAUAACAAUAAUAAUUAUUUUUAUAUACUCAUUAGUUAAUGAUAAUGUACGUUAUAUCUUGUUAAACCAAUCACUCUCAGACAACUGCAACUACUGAGAGACCAAGGACUCACUUCCAGAACAGAAACAUGAGGACAAGAAGAUUUUACUUAUGGUAACUUGGGCAAUUGAAGAAUAGUGAGAUUGCCCUGAAGGAGGAAAAGUGGGAUGAACAUUUCUGAAUGAAGUCUUCUGAAGAAAGGUGUGUCAUGAUCAGAGGGAACUGAUAUUGAGAGAAUAUCAAGAAGCUGAAUCCUCCCAGAGCCCAACUCCUAGGCUUCCUGGCUCAGAAAUCCACCAUCCACCCUGGAAGCAGACAACCAAGGAUACACAUCUGCCGAUUCCCUUAUCUCCUCCUCCUCCCUGCAAGCAGUGUCAUAAAGCUAAAUGCAGGCUGGUGGGAAAACACCAACCAGAAAGGCCACAUGCCCCUCUCCCCUACCUAAAACCCCAAAUAAAAACCCUUGCUUGUAGCUUUUUGGGAAGUUUGAGAUUACAGCUUUAGCUGUCCAUUCUCCUUUGCAAUAAAAUUCCUGCUUUCUUUC
This 759-nucleotide long non-coding RNA is filed under the name Equus caballus (horse). Its description in RNAcentral is "lncRNA (ENSECAG00000058899.1)". The record is from RNAcentral. Lineage: Eukaryota; Metazoa; Chordata; Mammalia; Perissodactyla; Equidae.